Molecule: transfer RNA, 73 nt
Filed under: Canis lupus familiaris (dog)
Lineage: Eukaryota; Metazoa; Chordata; Mammalia; Carnivora; Canidae
Also listed under: 3 other names
Rfam family: tRNA
About the family: Transfer RNA (tRNA) molecules are approximately 80 nucleotides in length. Their secondary structure includes four short double-helical elements and three loops (D, anti-codon, and T loops).
Source: Rfam by way of RNAcentral
GCCUGGGUAGCUCAGUCAGUUGAACAUAGGACUCCUGAUCUCUGAGUCAUGAGUUCAAGCCCCAUCUUAGGCA